Humulus lupulus (European hop) is the source of this 1665-nucleotide long non-coding RNA. RefSeq lists it as uncharacterized. The record is from RefSeq and is a predicted model, not a curated record. The transcript is spliced from 3 exons. Lineage: Eukaryota; Viridiplantae; Streptophyta; Magnoliopsida; Rosales; Cannabaceae.
ACAACUUUAUAUGUAUGUACCCUGACUUUUAGAAAACCCUGAUUUUUUUCCCUUUAUAUAUACAAAUAUGUACUCUGUAUAUGUAUCUGGACUGGAUGGCCCUAGCUAUACCGGCCCUAUAUAUAUUAGAGACAAUUAUAUAUGUACAUAUAUACCAGUCCUAUUACUAAAGAAAAGUUAAUUUCUGUGAGAAUUAAGACAGGAGGAGGAGGAGGGCGGUCGGCGACCAAUUAGCUUGCGGCGGCGGAGAGAGAUUAUUUAACAGAGAAUUGAAGGGGCUACUGUCGCAGGAGAGAUGACGCCUAAUAGUGUGUGACAGAUCAAAUUAAGGGUUAUAAUUUGAUGAUAUAUAUAGUCCAUACAUUAAUAGGCUUCAUCUCCCCGCGACUGAAGCCCCUCCUACUUUCUUCAACAAUAUCUAUAAAUAUAUAUAUAUAUUUGUUGUACUUUGUAAAUCACGAUAUUUCUCAUGAUUAGAAGCUAUGGCUGCAGCCCUUGCCCCCUACAGGAGAGAUGGACUCCGACCUUGACACCCUUAUCGACAAUGCAGGCGCCAAGAGGAGCAAAUGCCCUAGGGCGGGAUCACUGAAGACCGGUCAGCCGGGCAAAGGCUCCAAGAGAUCCAAGAAGACACCUCCCCUUGCCCCGCCGAUUUCGAGCUCUAUUGCUGCGUCGACUGUCCAGGCCAGCGCCUCCACGACAAUUCCAUCCUCGCAGGCCGUCGUCUCCGCGGUUGCACCGACUUCGCUGGUUGGUGCCCCUGCCAUUUUUGAGUCCCAACCUCCUGUGGUGGGCGAAACGUCUUCUGCUCAACUUUCCAGAAGGCCUUCUGCUUCUCGAGUUCAGAAGCUAACAAUCUCCACCCAUAUGGACUCAUAUGUGGUGGACAAUACUGCUGGACCUCACGGAUCUACGCUGAUCUCGGAUGUCAUGUCCCGGAUCGGCCAGAGCUAUGGCAGUUUCGAAGCUCCCCAGUGGCAGUGCUAACUGGCACCCGAGACCGCACUGUCCUUUACGAGAAGAGUAUCGAGCACACUGCUGCGGCUCAAUUAAGAGCUGAACAACGAGAUCCAUUCGAGCAGGACUCAUGCUCAAGAGGCGAAGGACCUCCACCUUAGAGCGAAUGACGAUCUGAAGGCGGCGAAUGCUAAGCUCGAGGCAGUGGUUAAGGAGCGUGAGGACAUGGCCAAGGAGCUCGAAAAGCUGAGAGCUGAACUCGAGGAGCAAAAGAAAGAUAAUACCCAGCUUCAGGAGACCAAUAAGAAGCUCGAAGAGGACAAGGCCGCCACCUUCGACAUCAUAGAGGAUGCCAAAACUCGCCUUCUUGCCGAGUACAAAGAAAAGAAGGAAAAUGCGGUCGACUCAGCCAUGUACUGGAUGUGGGCUUAUAAUGAAGAUCUGGACACCAGCUUCUUAGGUCCCCACGAGGCGCCGCUUCUUGAACGAUGGAAUGCUCGGCUCAAGAAGGAAGAGGCUGAACAGCUCGAGAAGGAGAAGGCUGCUCCGGACACCGUUUCGGAGGGAGCUCAGGAGGAUAGUCAUGCUAUUCGUCCUGGGGGGUCCGGUGCCACCGACGCUGAGAAGGCCAAGGAGACUCCUCUUCCUUGAAUCUGACCUCGGGGAGAUCAAUUAUCGAGGCUGCGUCCCCUUAUUUCUGUAAUUAUU